This is a long non-coding RNA of Acanthochromis polyacanthus (spiny chromis), 1593 nucleotides long. RefSeq lists it as uncharacterized. Lineage: Eukaryota; Metazoa; Chordata; Actinopteri; Pomacentridae. The record is from RefSeq and is a predicted model, not a curated record. The transcript has 3 exons.
GCACAGGAGAAGCAUCUGAUGACAUCAAUAAUCCUGACUUUGUCCCGUCUAGCUUUUCUUAUUCAUCCCAGUCAGACAAGGAAGGCGAUGCCAAAUUGGAGCGAUAUAAGAGAAAAAGACAAAGAGAUGAAGCCUCCAGAAGAUGUCCACACAAUGAUCAAUCUACACCUAUUUCCCCAGCAAAUGAUAGUGGAAUGGACCCUGAUCAAUCUACGCCCACUCCACCUGUGAAUGACUGUGAAAUAGAGCCAAAUGCUGAUCUUCGUAAUGAAGCUACAGUCCCAAAGGCCAACCAUGAGGACCUCAAACAGAAAUACCACCAACUGAAUAUCGAGUGUGACAACCUGUGUGCAGAAAACAAGCUUUCCUCUAUGUAAAGUAUAAAUGGCUAGUGUAGUAAAUUGUAAACAAUGGCCAAAAUUUUGAGAACAAAUUUAUUGACACAUCAUGCCUGAUUAUGUUUUUUUUAAAUGAAUUUUUAUGGCAUCUAACUUAACAGGUAUAUAACAAACAUAGGCACUCAGUAACCAGUGAAAAGUAAAAGUACAGGCAUCAAAUUAAAAUUUCACUGUUUUGCAUACUUUCUACUUCACUACAUUUACUUUGAAUAUUAUUAAUCUGGUAAGAAAGUCUUCAUAAAAUUUACCUAAGUGUAAGUUCUUAAAGUUUGUACUUUUUAUCUGUGCUUUUACUUUACUUUCCACCUCUCCCAAUAAGAAUGACAGUCAGUUAUUCAGAUAUGUUUUUAUUUCUUACUGUUUUAUAUGUUGAACCUAAGUGCAAACUUUCAAUAGUUAAACAGGAACUGGUCCUAUAAAUAAAGAUUGUUUAAGUGCAUACUCCAGCUCUUUUCACUUACACUUAGCACAAUACCAUUGUUUCACCUUUCUUUUUACCUUUGCACAUUCAUAGUGGAAAUGCUUAUUGCACUUUGCACAGGUAAUGAUCUUUCCAAAUUCUGGUCUUUCACAGUGAGGGCAGACCAUCGGUGCUUGUUGUUGCUGGUCCAUGCUGUGCGUUAACAGCUCAGGCAGAAUAUUUUGUUUAAAGAACUGUUCAGCAAUAGGGAGGGCUGUGGAAAGGAAUGGAUCAUCUCUGGCAACACGAGUGAUGAUUAGAUCUUGCUGUGUCCACAUCACAAAGUCACAGUACUGUACCUCACAUACAAACAUGUCAAGUUGUACUUGAUGGUAGUACUUGUGGUUCUUUUUGAGACAGAAUGAUUGGUCUAAGCAAAAAUCACCGCUUCCUGUCAGACCAUCACGAUAUCUGUAUGGGCACUUGAUCUCUACAGUUCCUCUACCGCAGCAACCACAGUUCAGCACUCCAUCUGGUGAUGCUCCAAGAUGUGGAUGGUCUGGAUGGACAACGAGACCACAGAGUUCAACAUUAAAGUUGUGAUGAUGUGCUUUCAUUGCCUCAGCAUAACAUUUUCUUGCAGUGCAUUCAUUGUUUCUUCCCCACUUUAUUGCAUUUACAUGAGAUAAGUCUUUGUUGUCAUAUUGCAUCAUCUGUUUGAGUAAGUUGGUUUUAGCUGUUUCAGUUUUAACAGUACAAACACGAUAUAGGGUGGUGCUAGUAAUUCGUCCUAAU